GUGCUCUUAGCCACUGAGCUGUCUCUCCAGCUCCCCUGAAAGUUCUUUCAACAAAUAGCAUCACUUCCAUUCCCCCCACCCCCACUUGCAUGAGCAUCUCAGAAUACGAAGUUUGGCUCUGGAAGGGGUUCCCUUUGAAGCCUGGAAUAUCAAAGCUAUCACAAGACAGUGUCGACCAUUUUGAAAGAAAUAUGAAGAAACGACAUCAUCCCCGGGGGCGGUAGGCUGAGAUCUUCCCAAACGGGUCAGCGGUUGGUCUGUAAAAUAUCCCCAUUGCCAAGGAGGUGGUGACAUCUCGUGUAAAUCAAAAACUGAAGCCCUGAGAUAUCUCAUUUCCAUUUUAAAUACACGGGGGUUAAAUAUGGAUAUGAGCAGGCAGAGGCUCCUGUGGGAUUGAUUUUUCCCGUCUUCUCUGAGCCCUUUGCUGAGCAUGAUAAGGACCAGGGUUCAUUAUCAAGCCUGCUAGCACUGCACUUCAGGAGACGAGAUGAGGCUUCGCAGUGGGAGAACAGAUCCACAAAGAAGAAAUGGUUCGUGUGGUGCAAUGAUAAAACCCCAUGUUGGGCUCAACUCAUUUUAAACAGGAUCGUGAGACCAAAGGAAAUCCCAAGAAAUUAAGUUUCCUGAAUCAUUUUUCAAACUGGGAAAAAAACCAACCAACCAAACAAACAAAAAAACCUUGGUGACAUCAUACAAGAAAUCGAAUCUAGGUUUCAAGGUUUGGUUAGCAAUGCCUGCAUUGUUUUUAAACAAACAUUUGUUUUUCUAAUAAUAAUGCUUGCAAUUUCAUAACACUUGUAUGUGUGUAUAUAUAUCGUGUGUAUGUGUAUGUAAAGAUUCCAACAGGCAAUCUAGAAAGGAAGCUAAGGUCAUCAUUAGAACCUUCAAGAGAUUCGGCCAAGGUUAUAGAAAUAACAUCAGAACAAAGAGCCUGGCUCCUGUCAGUUGACCCUGAGCUUGCUUGUGCUGCCCUGCCCACUGCUCCAAUUUCACUGCAACACAGAAAGCAGUUCCAGGUGUAUGAUUGCUGGCAGAUGGUCUCCGCUGGAUCAAACACAGAAGAAAUGCCCCCACUGUUUCUCCAAAUGCGUAGGUACGUCAUCAAGUUUCUGAACAUGGUUCAUAUCUGUUUCAUCCCCGGGUCUCACAUCUGGAGCUAAUCCUGCAGUGACCACCACCAUAAGGAAGAGUCUUGGCCGUCUUUUGUCCAAAGCAUACUGCUGGGGCUCAGUGAGAACCUGGACUCGGAAUGUGAAGCUGUCCGUCUUGAGGAGAGGAGGAGGUUUCACAAACAGCCACAAAAGGCACAGCUCGGGACAUCAAACACCACAACAGAACUUCAUUUCCCAGGAAUCAUAGAAACUGCCAUCCAUAUUUCUUUUGUCCUAUGUGAAGAAUGUAAUCCCUCCUUGGUACAUUUUCAAGUACAAUAAUGCAGCUGUGGAUACAGAAAUCUUAUUCCAGCAUUGUUUGUAAGUCUGAGAAGGGAGCCUAGAGCUAUAAUAUUGAUGCUGUAUAUUUAUGAGUAUGGCAGGGACACAGAGAACCUAGAGUGAUAAUACUGAUGGUGGCACACUGAUGAGCAGGUCAGGGACACUGAAGAGUCAACACAACCAUCACGUUCUGUGAUCAGUCAUCCUGGACAACAGGAAGGUGGCAAAUGCUACAUCCCACCAGCAGUGACAGAGUCAGACACGCCAAUUCAAACAAUUCCGCAACCAUGGCAUAUACCACUGAGUCUGAGGCAGCCAUGAAAGCCUAGGACCCAAGGCCCUAGGGUUUACCAAGGCUCAGGCAGGGCCAUUUUUAAUUCCCUUCACCCUUUUUGUUCCUCAGCAGUGCAAUGUAAAGAAAGAAUCAAGAGAACGUAAGCCAUGAAACAAACCACAGAGUAGAAAUAUGAGUGAAUGUGUGUGUGUGUGUGUGUGUGUGUGUGUGUGUGUGUGU
Molecule: long non-coding RNA, 1947 nt
Organism: Mus musculus (house mouse)
Lineage: Eukaryota; Metazoa; Chordata; Mammalia; Rodentia; Muridae
Product: predicted gene, 38960
Exons: 3
Source: RefSeq, a predicted model, not a curated record